Suricata suricatta (meerkat) is the source of this 567-nucleotide long non-coding RNA. RefSeq lists it as uncharacterized. The transcript has 3 exons. NCBI's taxonomy places the organism in Eukaryota, Metazoa, Chordata, Mammalia, Carnivora, Herpestidae. The record is from RefSeq and is a predicted model, not a curated record.
CUCUACUGCUGUCAGGAUCCAUGCUUGGAUACUAUCACACUGUCAUCAACAACUUCCCUUCCCACAGUCACCUUAGGCUUAUGAAGAACACAAAUGUGCUGGCAGCGCGAGCCAAGACCGACUAAACAGUGCUGCCCAGAACGGUUGGAAGGACAUCUGGCCACGGCCUUGAGGCCCUCGGGCACACGUUCUGAGGCACCCGAAGGCCUGCAAACAAGGUCUUUUCCUGGAGCUGGAGGAGGGUGGCACAGCUCUAGAGCCAGAAGAGUAUUUGGGGGCCCUGGCAGAGGGCACAGUGCUUGGUACAGUGCAGCCCCCCUCCCGGCAGGGGCCCCUCUCCCUGCCAAGAAGCUUGGUGAGGCCCCUGCAACCCACUGCCUGCACAAGGCGGAUUAACGGAGUUUCGAGCUGCCCCUUGUGGCCAAAGUGUGCUAUGGCUCUGGUCAAACCAUCUCUGAAGGGAUGCAUUGUAUGUUAAUGUAUAGCUAACUGGGGGCCAUCAUGGAAACAGGCCUGGGAACCAAGAGAGGUUUGGAGGAACUAAGGAUGUUUGGUUUAGAAUAAAGA